CCUACGGGAGGCAGCAGUAGGGAAUAUUGCUCAAUGGGGGAAACCCUGAAGCAGCAAAGCCGCGUGGAGGAUGAAGGUUUUCCGAUUGUAAACUCCUUUUGUUAGAGAAGAUAAUGACGGUACGUAAGGAAUCACCAAGGGUUACCUCCGUCCCAGCAGCCGCGGUCAUACGGCGGGCGCAAGCGUUACUCCGAAUAAUGGGGCGUAAAGGGUGCGUAGGCGGGUGAGCAAGGCAGUUGUUAAAUCCGAUGGCUUAAACAUAGGACUGCAAAUGAAACUGCUUUUCUAGAGUGUAGGAGAGGUAUGUGGAAUUCUUGGUGUAGGGGUAAAAUGCAUAGAGAUCAAGAAGAAUCCUCAUUGCGAAGGCAGCCUGCUGGAACAUAACUGACGCUGAUGCACGAAAGCGUGGGGAGCGAACAGGAUUAGAUACCCGUGUAGUC
This 440-nucleotide ribosomal RNA is filed under the name uncultured bacterium. Its description in RNAcentral is "partial 16S ribosomal RNA". It matches the Rfam family "Bacterial small subunit ribosomal RNA", at positions 338 to 795 of the family's 1533-position model. The record is from RNAcentral.